Lathyrus oleraceus (garden pea) is the source of this 484-nucleotide long non-coding RNA. RefSeq lists it as uncharacterized. The transcript has 2 exons. The record is from RefSeq and is a predicted model, not a curated record. Lineage: Eukaryota; Viridiplantae; Streptophyta; Magnoliopsida; Fabales; Fabaceae.
CAAUUGUUUCUCUAUAGUUUCCAACUCUAAAAGGAUAAUACAUGUUUAUCCAUAGAUAAAUGUUUUCAUAGCUAGUACACCAUUAAAUAAUAAACACCCGUCAACCUCCAUCGAGAACAGGGGGAUGGACAAGAAAGCAUACUCUACAAACAACCUUUACAUUUUCAUGCUUUGUUGAUUUGUACCCCCGUGUUGUAUUAUGUACACAUCCUCAUGGAGAUUCCCAUCAAGAGAGACGAUUUUUAUAUCCAUAUGCCAUAUUUCAUAAUCAUGAUACACAACAAUAACAAGUAAAAUCCAAACAGAUCUGAGCAUUGUACCUAGUGAAAAUGUUUCAUCAUAUUCAACACCAUGAAUUUGAUUAUAUCCCUUAGCAACCCUUUAUGCCUUAUAGGCGUGUACCUUACCAUCCAUGUCAGUCUUCUUUAUGUACAUGGAAUCCAUUUUAAAAUUCAUGGCCUCUAGCCACUUCUUAGACUGAUAA